AUUGAACGCUGGCGGAAUGCUUUACACAUGCAAGUCGAACGGCAGCACGGGGCAACCUGGUGGCGAGUGGCGAACGGGUGAGUAAUACAUCGGAACGUGCCCAAUCGUGGGGGAUAACGUAGCGAAGUUACGCUAAUACCGCAUACGAUCUACGGAUGAAAGCGGGGGAUCGCAAGACCUCGCGCGAAUGGAGCGGCCGAUGUCAGAUUAGGUAGUUGGUGGGGUAAAGGCUCACCAAGCCGACGAUCUGUAGCUGGUCUGAGAGGACGACCAGCCACACUGGGACUGAGACACGGCCCAGACUCCUACGGGAGGCAGCAGUGGGAAUUUUGGACAAUGGGCGCAAGCCUGAUCCAGCCAUUCCGCGUGCAGGAUGAAGGCCUUCGGGUCGUAAACUGCUUUUGUACGGAACGAAACGGUUACGUCUCUAAUACAGGGGCGUAAUGACGGUACCGUAAGAAUAAGCACCGGCUAACUACGUGCCAGCAGCCGCGGUAAU
Molecule: ribosomal RNA, 499 nt
Filed under: uncultured bacterium
Lineage: Bacteria
Description: bacterial SSU rRNA
Rfam family: Bacterial small subunit ribosomal RNA
Source: RNAcentral